AUACGGAGGGUGCAAGCGUUACUCGGAAUCACUGGGUGUAAAGCGCGCGCAGGCGGUCUUUUAAGUUGGAUGUGAAAGCCUACAGCUCAACUGUAGAACUGCAUCCAAAACUAUUAGACUAGAGUCUGGGAGGGGAAGAUGGAAUUAGUUGUGUAGGGGUAAAAUCCGUAGAGAUAACUAGGAAUACCAAAAGCGAAGGCGAUCUUCUGGAACAGUACUGACGCUGAGGCGCGAAAGCGUGGGGAGUAAACAGGAUUAGAAACCCGAGUAGUCC
This 274-nucleotide ribosomal RNA is filed under the name uncultured bacterium. RNAcentral describes it as "partial 16S ribosomal RNA". It matches the Rfam family "Bacterial small subunit ribosomal RNA", at positions 523 to 796 of the family's 1533-position model. The record is from RNAcentral.